Long non-coding RNA from Salvia splendens (bonfire salvia), 1384 nucleotides. RefSeq lists it as uncharacterized. The record is from RefSeq and is a predicted model, not a curated record. The transcript has 2 exons. NCBI's taxonomy places the organism in Eukaryota, Viridiplantae, Streptophyta, Magnoliopsida, Lamiales, Lamiaceae.
UCCCCCCCUCUCACACCUUGCUGCCGCCGCCGCCAGCCAGCCUCUUUCCGUGCCGCCGUCGUGCCACCGCCACCUCCGGUGGCGUUCCUUCCUCCCCCUCAUCUCUCUUCCUCCCUUCUCUCCCUCUUUCUCUAUCUUCCUCUCAAGCCUCACGCCGCCGUCCUCCCUUCUCUCCCGAUCUGCCGCCGUCGCCGCGGAUCCCCUCCGUCGCCUCCUUCCUCUCCCCCUCUUUCUUUCUCUCCCUCGGCUCCCUCUUUCUCUCCCGGAUCUGCCGCCGCCGCCGUUCUCACAGCAGGAGUCGCGGCUGCUCUUCGAGCUGCCGCCAUCAGCAGCUCGCACCAGCCAGCGAGCGCCGUCUCUGUCGCUGCUUCUCGCCGUCGACCACCGCCACAGCCGAGACCCCUCCCCCGUCCCCGACGCCGAUUCCCGACAGAUUUUAAAGGAAUGAAAACAUCGGAGCGUUGGUUGUCGAUUGUCGGCGACGGAGUGCCGAGCUUGCUGCCGGAAGUCCGGGAGAUUCAUCUCCUAAGAUAAGUAUUUCUAACUGCCCUAUGUUAUUUCUAUCAUUCAACAGUUUGGGGAAAAUAAUUGGUUUUAGCAUGCUACUUGUAAGUGUUGGGUGAAUUUUGAAGUCCCUGAUGUAAUAUGUGGUACAGUGGCCUAGCAUGUUUCUAUUCUCAUUCCUACUGUAAUUUGAUGUAUAUGCAUAAAGAAAAAAAUGAAAGGAGGUAUGGGGUUACCUUUUUAUGUGGGGACGAGGUGUUGUUGGAUUAGGGACUUGAUUCUACAAGUGUGUGCAAAUCUUCCUCCUUGGACUCCUCUGUUCGACGUGGAAUUGGAGUGGCAGAGGAAAUAGUAUGUGGGGUGUGUGAAGGGAUUAUGUGGGGUUUGUGAAGGGAUGAUUAGGAUAUAUGAUGGUGAUGUUUUAUGGUGAAAGAAAGUGCAUGUACCGAUUUAUAUAAGAUGGCAAAUGAUGUAACUUGCAAGUAUUAUUGCAAAGAAUAAUUACCAUGUGUCAGAUGAUGAAGAAUUUUUCCACACUUCAUUAAUGCAGCCUUCAUUAUGUCUAUUACUCAUCAAGGCAGCAUUUAAUGCUGCCAUGACUAUGGUCCUUCUCGGAUAUGCUAGAAAAAUAAUAAUUAUUAAUAUAUAUAUUUUUUUAUAUUAAUUAUUUGAGUAUUUGCUUACUUAAUCAUUUAAUUUGGUGUAGGUAUAAUUUGUCCAAGUUCGUGGCCCUCCGCGUUGAAGUAUCCGUUUUCUUAAAGCAUACGACGUAUAAAUUAAAUUUUGUUGGACUUUUGUUGGAUGUAUCAAUCAUUAAAAUUUUGAUUAUGGGACUUUAUUUAUUUACUUAAAUUUAUUAUAUUCAUAUAGGUGUAAUAUA